AGUGAUAAAACCACUUAAUGAGACGGAAACUAGGCAAGGACUUCACCUUUGUUUCCCUAUCCUAAUCGUUCACUAAGUUUAUUGUAAACUAUGUAGUGAAAAAUAACCACAUGCUCUCCAAAAUGUUUGAUGUGUAUAACACAAUUGAAAAAGGUUUCAAGAGAGAUAGUGGGAGUUUAGGGACCAUGACUAUUGUAGUCAAAAGGAGAAGUCAGAUAAAGAAGAUAAAUAACUCCAAGGGAACAAACUUUCUUUAUGAAAGGAUGGAUAUUGGAAGGGGUAUUUGCAAGAAAUGUCUUGCAAGUGUCAAGAACACACCUUUCGAAGGUGUUGUAAAUUGUUCUUGAAUAGUUCAAAACAGUUGGUUCUUCUACUUGAAUGCUUGAUUCCGUAUUAGUAACUAUGUUUUACAAAUCGUUGUAAAAGUGUGACUAAUAAGAAGUAGAAGAUAUAUGAGUGAAGAAAAUGUGCUUCACAUUCGGAAACGUGAAUCAAAUAUAGAUCUCUGCGAAAGCAGAUGGUACUCACUUCCUCAUAUGAACUACCAAAGAAAUUGGAAAAACAUAGAUUGUCUUUAUAUUCCAAUUUUAAGGAACUAAAUUCCGUCACUAUGUGAAAUGGAUAAAUGUUUUGUUUGACAAAACAAUGUUCUUUAUUAAUCAAUGAUUAGAUUAUGGUAAUCUAAUUAAUUAUCUCUAUAGUAGAGAUAAUAUGGUAGUGUUAACUGUUUAGAAAAUAAUGAUGCUUAAAAACCCAAAAGGUUGCAAGGUAGUGACUAAUCCCAACUAAAGUUGUGAUACCUCUAAAACAUAAAUUACGAGUUGGUCAUAAAUGGACGCUUUGGAUCGUUAGAUCCGGAUCCAAUACCUUCUUGUUAAAAUUGUAUGGAGGCGAAAUGUUCGAAUCUUUAUUCUUUUGGAAAGAAGAAAGAAUCACAAAGUUGUUGAGGUUAAUUCACUUAGAUGUUAGUGGCACUUGUCCACAAACAUAAUAUUACUCAUGUUGAAUAACAUUCACCGAAGAUCACUCUCGG
RNAcentral lists this long non-coding RNA (1033 nucleotides) under Malus domestica (apple). RNAcentral describes it as "long non-coding RNA (MDOM_LNC012961)". The record is from RNAcentral. Lineage: Eukaryota; Viridiplantae; Streptophyta; Magnoliopsida; Rosales; Rosaceae.